Molecule: transfer RNA, 72 nt
Filed under: Camelus bactrianus (Bactrian camel)
Lineage: Eukaryota; Metazoa; Chordata; Mammalia; Artiodactyla; Camelidae
Also listed under: 3 other names
Rfam family: tRNA
About the family: Transfer RNA (tRNA) molecules are approximately 80 nucleotides in length.
Source: Rfam by way of RNAcentral
GAGGGUAUAGCUCAGUGGUAGAGUGUGUGCUUAGCAUGCACGAGGUCCUGGGUUCAAUCCCCAGUAUCUCCA